CUACUUACCUGGCAGGGGGAGAUCCUUUGAUUAUGAAGGUGGUUUUCCCCAGGACCAGGCUUAUCCACUGCACCCAUUGCAGGGGUUGUGCUACCCCUGCAAUUUCCCCAAGCGCGGGAAACUCAACUACAUACUUUGUGGUAGUGGGGGACUGCAUUUAUGCUCCCCUCU
Small nuclear RNA from Pteronotus mesoamericanus, 171 nucleotides. RefSeq annotates it as U1 spliceosomal RNA. Lineage: Eukaryota; Metazoa; Chordata; Mammalia; Chiroptera; Mormoopidae. The record is from RefSeq and is a predicted model, not a curated record. The transcript has a single exon.